UACAGAGGUCCCGAGCGUUGUUCGGAUUCACUGGGCGUAAAGGGUGCGUAGGUGGCAUGUUAAGUUUGAUGUGAAAGCUCAGGGCUCAACCCUGAAAUGGCAUUGAAUACUAGCGUGCUGGAGGUUUGGAGGGGGGACUGGAAUUCUCGGUGUAGCAGUGAAAUGCGUAGAUAUCGAGAGGAACACCAGUGGCGAAGGCGGGUUGCUGGGCUGACACUGACGCUGAUGCGCGAAAGCUAGGGGAGCGAACGGG
This 253-nucleotide ribosomal RNA is filed under the name uncultured bacterium. RNAcentral describes it as "partial 16S ribosomal RNA". It matches the Rfam family "Bacterial small subunit ribosomal RNA", at positions 524 to 776 of the family's 1533-position model. The record is from RNAcentral.